AAAACGCAGAGAGUUCCAGAGACCCAAAUAGAAGCAGAAAACAAUGGAAAAAAAAAUGCAAAGAGAAGUAGAGAAGAAUCGAGAAACAUGAGGAAAAAGAGAGAGAAAAGAGGGGAAGAAAAACAAUAACUAGAAUUGCAAAUAAACAGGAAAGGAGCAGCAACAUCGACAUGAACAAGGUCGAAUUAUGCUUCUCGCUUGGGGUUGAUUCUUGACUGCAGCAAGGUAACACCAAAUUGUAGUAGUUCAGGUUUAUGAAUUUUGUUUUCAUCAUUAUAGUUAUUGGUAGCAAUUAGACCUAAGAAGCAGGGCAAGCCCUAAGGAAGAAAUGAAAUGGGUUAAUUUGAUCACGUGAACAAGAAUUUCAUCAUAAAAUAAUUGGAAUUUUACGUGAUGGGCUGUGCAUAAUGAUGCCCAUAGAUAGCUAAAUACAGGUACUAAGGCAAGAGAUGGGUUAGUUCAACAAAGGUAAGUAGGGUUAUUAUGAAUAUAAGUCCACCAUUAAACAUUAGUAAAGAAGUGGAGAAACAACAGGAGAAUAUUUGGCUUAAACUUUGGAGACUUGUUAAGACAUUACUAAUGAAUUCUAUAUGAAAGAAAUUUAAUGGCUUAUUUUCAAUAAAGAAACGAUAUGGGCAAGAUUAUGGUGAAUUAUAAUUUAAUUUUAUGGUGCUAGGUUGUUUUGCUUCAUUUUCAAAGUUAAACCAAUGCUUCAAAUUGUGAAGCAUUAUAUGGACAGAAAUUUAUAUACAUUGAAUAGAAACAGGAACGAGAAUGAGUUAAAGGAGCUUUGAUUAUGGGUUUGACCAAUUGUUAUUAAUUGGUACCUGCAACAAGAGAGAAAGGAAUGGGACUCUACUUUAAAUUCUUCUUUUACCUUUAAACAAUAGUAAUUCUUUUCAAUUAUAAAGUGACUGCAAUUGGAUAUUUCUUUGGUCCAUUGGCUAGGGGAUUGGAUUGAAUGGUUGCUAAUACGAAGAAAUGUUACAUUUUUCAGGAAAUAUCGAGGUCAGGACACUUGGUGAUCGAAUUAGUCCUGUGAGUGGAAAAAUAUAAAUAUUUUUAAAGCAUUUAUAAAUUAAGUUUAUUGUUAAAGUAUGUGCAAUUAUAUGUAAUUAUGUGUUCGAAUUAUAUGAUUUUUAUGGAAAUAUCUUUUAUUAUGAUACAUGUGGGAUUUCAAAGAUUGUAUACGUCAUGUUGUGAAUUGGAAUAUGAGAUAUGAUUUUGAGAUCGACCAGAAAAGUACCCGUGAUUAUAUAUUUCUUCUAGUUCACUGAAGGGCCUUGGCCGUGUUCUAUACUACACUGAGGGGUCAUGGACCGGGGAUGAAGGGGUCUCAACCGUGUAUAUAUAGUUCACUGAGGGGCCUUGUCCGUGUUCUAGAAUUGAUUUUGAGAGGUCUUUGAGACCGACUUUCAUUCACAGAGGGGCCAAAGGCCCGUGGCGAAAGUUCUUAGCCCGAGAGGCGGAUUACAUAUUUCAGUCAGAGCGUACAUUUUUGGUGAAUUUUUCAGCAUGUUUGAUGUGAUGAGAUUAUAACAUGAUUAUCAAUUGAUGUUUUAUCAUGAUUUUGAGAUGAUAUUUUACGACCUUUUGUGAAUAUUUCACUUUUGGUUAUAAUUACAUGAUGUUAUCUUGUGAAUUAUUAAAUUAUAUGAACUCGAUUUUCGAUAGAAAUGUAAAAUUGAAAAAGUAUAAUUAUUUUCGAACUGUUCCACUCACUGAGUUAUCAACUCAUAUAUUUUUCCUACAGGUGGAAAUUUAUUCUUUUUUGUUGGAAAAGCCUAAUGAUUUCGGAAUGAGAGCCACACGACAUGUUGAGUGUUAUAAUUCAUAUUAAUGAAGCAUGAAGAAAUUUUUUUGGGCCCAUCGCAUUAUAUUUUAUAUAAGCACUUGAUUUUAUUGCAUUUUUUUGAAAUAACUCAUAGUCAGCCUUGAUGAUAGAUUUGACAUCUAUUCAGCAUCUAUCAUCGGCGCACGUCACGUUUCGGGUCCACUAGGGUGAUUCGGGACGGGUCGUGUCAUUAUUUAAGGAUGCACAUGAAUAUUUGAAACAUUGUGAUCAAUGCCAACGUACAGGGACAAUCUCCAAAAAGAAUGAGAUGUCUUUGAAUUCGAUUCUAGAAGUGGAGCUCUUUGAUGUUUGGGAGAUUGAUUUUAUAGGACCAUUUCCUUCUUCUUAUAAAAAUUAGUACGGAUUGGUGGUAGUUGAUUACGCAUCGAAAUGGGUAAAGACAAUAGCAGCAUCGACUAAUGAUGCUCGAAUGGUUGUUAAUUUUCUAAAGAAGAACAUAUUCUCGGGCUUUGGCAUCUCUCGAACUAUCAUCAGCGAUGGCGGUAAACACUUCUAUAAUAGGCUUUUGGAGUCCGUACUAGCAAAAUAUGGGGUAAAACAUCGGGUUGCCACACCUUAUCACCCUCAAACAAGUGGCUAGGUGAAAGUGUCAAAUAGGGAGCUAAAGAGAAUUCUCGAGAAGACAGUGAACAGCCCAAGAACUGAUUGGUCACGAAACUUGACGAUGCAUUGUGGACAUACAGGACUGCCUACAAAACACCAAUAGGCAUGUCACCAUAUCGCCGUGUAUUUGGAAAAACUUGUCACCUUUUAGUGGAAUUGGAGUAUCGAGCAUAUUGGGCAGUAAAGCAGUUAAACAUAGACUUGACAGUAGCUAGAGAUAAGAGGAUACUACAAUUGAAUGAGUUGGAUGAAUUUCGGAUGGAUGCCUAUGAGAAUACAAAACUGUGCAAGGAGAGGAUGAGGAAAUUGCAUGAUAAAUACAUCCAAAAACGUGAGUUCACUCUAGGUCAAAAAGUAGUAUUGUUCAAUUCUAUGUUGAAAUUUUUUCCUCGAAAAUUACGUUCCAGAUGGUUUUGACCAUUCACAGUUGUUCAAAUCUUUCCACAUGGGGCAGUUAAUGUAACUCACGAGAUAAAAUGAACCUUCAAAGUAAAUGGGCAGCGGUUGAAAGCAUAUUGGGUGGUGACUUUGAUAAAGAGAAGUCACUUACCCAACUUCAUGACCUAAAAUGAUUGAUCUGACAGUCUAGUUAAAAACUAUAAAUUAAGUGCUAAUUGGGAGGCAAUCCAACCUUCUAUCUAUUUUAUUUAUCUUACUUUUUGUACCGCAUUUACAUGUAGAUUUAUUUUGAUUAUUAGUUUGUAUUAGACUUAGACACGUUUCAAUUUGUAGGGUAUCACCAUCCUAGAUGUUCCUUUUAGGCCUUUGAAUCUAUUGAUGAUUAUUUUGAUUGUUUGGACUAAGUAACACAUGUUCUAGAUUAUUUGAUCUCUAAUAUUUGAUUUGACCAUCAUAUACAGGAACAUGACGUCAUGGAACACUCAAACCAACAUAGACCAAGAGAAAAGCAUGAUGAAAGAGAUUGUCGAGCCAUCAUCUGUAGUGCCUCACACAUUCAAUAGAAAACUUCUGGGAGUAUUUUCUUCCUUUUCUUCUCCAAUCCCUUAUACUCUUACUUUUGGUUUACAACAUUAAGGACAAUGUCGGGUUCAAGUUUGGGGGUAGGAAACACUUUGAGUUUUUGGUUUUCGUAUACUUGUGUGUUUUGGCAUGUUUGUUUUUAGUACUACUAAAAAAAAAAAAAAAAAAAUCUUUUUUAGGUUGUGUGCUCGUGUGGGUUAAACAAUUUGGCUAACAAUGAUGAUUUAAGGUUGAGAUUUGGUGUUAAUUUAUAAACUGUGGAUAUGUUGCAUGCUAGACUGAUUGAAUCUUACCGUGUAAAGCUUGAUAUUAUAUGCGCACUAGAAUUGAGUUUGACAUGGUUAUGAAAUGAGUUGUUUCAUGCUCUUAAUAAGUUGAUUUAUUUGGACAUAGAUGCUUUAUCUAAACCAUACUAAAUUAAUUAUCCUUAAACCAAAAUUAAGCACAGUUUGGGGUGAUGUUACUAUUGUAGGAGGAUACGGAUGUGGCUAGGAUUCCUUGUGUGAAAUUUUUUUUGUGUAUUGUCUUAGAUUAACAUGAGAAAAUUAGGCGAAAGUCUUAAAUUCGAGAUCGGUUUGCUUGAAUAGGUGUGUGAUAAAGGGCAUUGCACUAAUCAAGACAUAUUUUAAAAUUUAAAACUUCUCUUUGAAACCUAUAACUCGAGUAAUUAAACCUGCAAGGGUGUCUUAAAACAUGAUGCCCUAAAGUCAUCUAACUUGGAAGUCAUCGGCCUAAAGCUUGCUACAGGAGUCAUUUAGAAAGCAAUCAGAGAUGAAGUUGACCAUGAAAGAAAAAAUUAUUUUUUUCGAGACCUUUUUUACUUAGGUUAUUAAGCCUGUAAGGGUAUUUGAAAACCUAGCGCCCUAAAGUCAUUUGACUUGGGAGUCAUCGACCUAAAACUUGCUAUAUGGGCCAUUUAGAAAGCUUAAGGAUGAGUGCGCAAAAAAAAAAAAAAAAAAGAUGCAUUAAAUGCAUUGUUAAGUCCCAACACUUAUUCGAGAGAAUUUGACUUUCAAUAAAAGAUACUAGCCUAGUUGAGUCUUGACGGUUUAACCAAUCAAAUAAUUGGAGAAUCCCUGUUCAUUGAUGUGUUGACUUGCAACUAGUGACGUCCACCUGAAUGGGAGAGAGUGAGGAUAGUAAUAAAAAAAUUCAACCUUAGAUUACACGUUGGAAAAAGAGUGAAAAAAGAAUAAGUUCAAGGUGUGUAAAUCUUACGAGUGAUAAAAUUUCAUUUUGGACCACUAAGGGUCGGGAAUUGGAAUAACUUGUGAAUUUAUUAAUGUCUACUUAACUCUUCACACACACACAUCGAAUUUGCAUUUAAUGAGUGGAUAUUGAUUUGGUAUUGUGAUAUUGAAGCAUGUUUGUGAUAUUAACACUAAAAUCUUGAAUCCUAAGGUGAGAAGCCAGUUUGUCUACCAAAUAUUUUUGCACGAUUGUGUGUUUGUUAUUAUUUAGAUUAUAGUUUUGUUUGAGGAUAAACAAAUGUUUAAGUUUGGGGGUGUUUGGCCCUAAAGUAAUAAUAUUUGAUAGUUCUUUUGACAAAUGAUACCCUAAAUUGUUUUAUUUUAUGUUUAAUAGGUAAAUUUUUUGAAUGAAAAAGGAAGUGAAGGAAAUAAGCAAAAACUAACGAAAAUUGGCAAAAUCCAAAAUACGGGGACUAAAUUUGGCUCUUGGAUAAGUUGAAGAAAGAUGGGCCAUUUACCAAUUGGGGUUGGAAUGGGAAGUGGGCUUUAUGUUAAAGACAACAAAAAUUAAUUUGGGCCUUAAUUGGACUUGUAUUUGGAAAUGAAGAGAAUUGGAGGGCUAAAUUAUAUUGUAUACACACAUUAGGGUAGCCAUAUACAGUCACGCAUAGAAGGAGAGAAAAAAAUUUAGAGAAGAAAAAAAGCAGCCAAUUAUUCUUUAGAUACACGCACAGAAAUGGAGGUUGCUGGUGGCUGAAAUUAUAUAAAAUAAUACACACAUAGGCAGCAGUUGGCUGGGAGAAAAACCACAGAAAAAUGGCAACGAUUUGGAAGAAAAAAGAGGGUAGCCUGCUAUUGGAAGAGGAAAAAAAUAGAUACACAUAAAAACGGCAGCUUGCAGGGAGGAAAAUAUUUGAGAAAAAAGGCAGCAACUUUGAAGAAAAGAAAUGGUUGAAUUGAUUAUUAUAUCAAAAGAAAAAUUGGUGGUUGACUUGGAUUCUUUGACCACCAAAAUUUGCGGCUGUUUGAGAGAAACCAAGAAGAGGGGCUGCUGGGAUUAUAUAUAUACACAGAUGCACAGAAAAUUGGAGACACGCAUGAAGAUGGCUGCUCCAUUGAAGAAAAUGAUUCCAAUUUCUUGUUCAAUAAUCUAUCAAUGAUUGCGCAAGGAAUUUGAGAAUUAAAUAUGUUCCAUCGAUUUUCGAUGAUGUCGCUCAAACUUUAUUUGUUUACUUUCGACUCUAUGUUAAGCUAAUUUUUCAUAUUGCUAGGAUAUGUUGAACCCUUGUUAUAAAUUUUUAAUUUGAAUAAUUUAAUUGACGUUAGUUUGUUUAAUUGUUUGGAUGUUUAUAACGGUUUAAGUUGCUUUUCAAUUAACUGACCAUUAAUUGAAUUAUUUAU
Molecule: long non-coding RNA, 6030 nt
Filed under: Olea europaea subsp. europaea
Lineage: Eukaryota; Viridiplantae; Streptophyta; Magnoliopsida; Lamiales; Oleaceae
Source: RNAcentral